AAGUCGUAACAAGGUUUCCGUAGGUGAACCUGCGGAAGGAUCAUCUUUGUAGGCAACUCUUUUGUAGGCAACUCUGCUCCGCAGAGUUGGUUACUACUCAUGCACCUGUGAACGCAGCGCAGCUGCACAUUUGCGUAGCUUGUGGAUAUUAUCAUAAAUAGAAUGAACCGAAUACAACCUUUAGCAAUGGAUCUCUUGGCUUCU
RNAcentral lists this unclassified non-coding RNA (204 nucleotides) under fungal sp. Its description in RNAcentral is "partial internal transcribed spacer region". The stretch from base 1 to 46 matches the Rfam family "Eukaryotic small subunit ribosomal RNA", at positions 1786 to 1831 of the family's 1831-position model. The record is from RNAcentral. Lineage: Eukaryota; Fungi.